This 75-nucleotide transfer RNA is filed under the name Dysgonomonas mossii. Its description in RNAcentral is "tRNA-Trp". It matches the Rfam family "tRNA". From Rfam's summary of the family: Transfer RNA (tRNA) molecules are approximately 80 nucleotides in length. Their secondary structure includes four short double-helical elements and three loops (D, anti-codon, and T loops). Lineage: Bacteria; Pseudomonadati; Bacteroidota; Bacteroidia; Bacteroidales; Dysgonomonadaceae. RNAcentral also lists the same sequence under 5 other names. The record is from RNAcentral.
ACGGGCGUAGUUCAGUGGUAGAGCGUUGGUCUCCAAAACCAAAUGUCGGGAGUUCGAAUCUCUCCGCCCGUGCUA